AUCCAGACGAUGAAUCCCAAAUUGGACGAAACACUUGUUCUGGAU
Molecule: non-coding RNA, 45 nt
Filed under: Schistosoma margrebowiei
Lineage: Eukaryota; Metazoa; Platyhelminthes; Trematoda; Strigeidida; Schistosomatidae
Source: RNAcentral